This is a long non-coding RNA of Leopardus geoffroyi (Geoffroy's cat), 1400 nucleotides long. RefSeq lists it as uncharacterized. NCBI's taxonomy places the organism in Eukaryota, Metazoa, Chordata, Mammalia, Carnivora, Felidae. The transcript is spliced from 3 exons. The record is from RefSeq and is a predicted model, not a curated record.
UUCUUCUUCUUCAGGCAUGAGAAUCAAGACACCACACCUGAGUAUUUUGACAAGUUCUAUCAAGAAAACAAAGUGACCUGUGACUUCUCCUUGGUAGAUGUCUCUCAAGCAUCUGGCAUUAGCGAGCAGAGCCAAGCUCACCAGCAGCUCCCCCUGAACCUCAGAGUCCGUGGGCAUGGAGGAUUUGGGAUCAGCAGCGUUGGCCCCAAGAUGCUAUUUCCCAUUCCAUUAAAGAAGAGUUGAUGAAUACACAUAUUCCUCCAAAGUGAAGCCGGGUGGCCAAGUGAUUUCAGUAUCAGAGAGAUUCACGUGGCUUUAAACCCAAGUUUGGUCACUUAAUCGUGUCAUCUUGGGAAAGUUUAUCUAACUCUUCUGAACCACAGAUUCUUCAUUUGUAAAACGAAUGGGACAUGAGUUAUUGUGGGAAUUAAGGAAAACAAUGCCCUUGAAAGCUCUUGACAACACCAAGAACUUGAGAGAAAGAAAAACAGCUAAAACAGAGUGUGAAUGAGGACUGAGUGCUUCUUUCUCGAACUAAAGACUCUUCACUCAACACAAGCCUUCUCUCUGACCACUCCUACAUUCUGCGGCCUAUUGGCUUAUAGGUUCAUUCAGCAAAGCAGGUGAAUGUGGGAAAGGCGGAAGGAACCCACCACAGAGAAGUAUCCCAAAGCAGGGGGAGGAGGGCCGUGAAAAUGUGGAUGGAGAGCCAGAACUACCACACAUAGGACAGGCAAGGCUUUAUGGAGCAAAAGACAGGAGGUGUUUUCCUGGAGCUGCAUGUCGCCUGACCAGGCAAAGGAGUGGAUGCUUUUCUGCAUUCAUGAUGGAGCUUCACUUCUUGGUGGAUUCUGACCAAUGAGCUGAGGUGCCAGUGUCCCUGGGAUCCACCCCCCAUCGCCCCCCUUCACCAUCCUCUCCUGACUACAGUUGGAAUAUUGCCCAGAUUCAAGGAUGUCAUCUCAACAAGCAGUAUCUCCCAGCUGCCAUGAGGGGAGGUAAAGACACACGAGCUCUUCAUUGCCUUCCCAAGGCUGUAUUGAGAAAAGGCAGUCAAGUGAGAAUACUCUUGACAUGGGAUUCCUGGAAAGGCCCUACCAGCUAUACCCCCUUUCAGGACUGUACCUCCUUCUCAUGCUCUCGACUUAACCUGAAGACUUCCAAUCCCCACCACUUCCACAGAUAUUUGGCAAUGUCUGGAGACACAUUCGAUAAUCAUAACUGGGAUAGGCGUGAGGAGAGGCACUACUGGUGUCUAGUGGGUAGAGGCUAGGGAUGUUGUUCAACACCCUAUGACACUCAGAACAGUUUCCAUAACAAAGAAUUGUUUUGGGGGCGCCUGGGUGGCUCAGUUGGUUGAGCGUCUGACUUUGACUCAGGUCAUGAUCUCCCGGUUCGUG